UACAGGGGGUGCAAACGUUGCUCGGAAUCAUUGGGCGUAAAGCGCACGUAGGCGGUUCGUUAUGUCGGAUGUGAAAGCCCUUGGCUUAACCGAGGAAGUGCAUCCGAAACUGGCGAGCUAGAGUACGGAAGAGGAUCGCGGAAUUCCCGGUGUAGAGGUGAAAUUCGUAGAUAUCGGGAGGAACACCGGUGGCGAAGGCGGCGAUCUGGGUCGAUACUGACGCUGAGGUGCGAAAGCGUGGGGAGCAAACAGG
RNAcentral lists this ribosomal RNA (253 nucleotides) under uncultured bacterium. RNAcentral describes it as "partial 16S ribosomal RNA". It matches the Rfam family "Bacterial small subunit ribosomal RNA", at positions 524 to 776 of the family's 1533-position model. The record is from RNAcentral.